Molecule: ribosomal RNA, 292 nt
Filed under: uncultured bacterium
Lineage: Bacteria
Description: partial 16S ribosomal RNA
Rfam family: Bacterial small subunit ribosomal RNA
Source: RNAcentral
GUGUCAGCCGCCGCGGUAAUACGGAGGGUGCAAGCGUUAUCCGGAUUCACUGGGUUUAAAGGGUGCGUAGGUGGGUAGGUAAGUCAGUGGUGAAAUCCCCGAGCUUAACUUGGGAACUGCCGUUGAUACUAUCUAUCUUGAAUAUCGAGUAGGUAAGCGGAAUAUGUCAUGUAGCGGUGAAAUGCUUAGAUAUGACAUAGAACACCAAUUGCGAAGGCAGCUUACUUCAAGAUUAUUGACACUGAGGCACGAAAGCGUGGGGAUCAAACAGGAUUAGAAACCCUUGUAGUCC